This is a long non-coding RNA of Salvelinus namaycush (lake trout), 731 nucleotides long. RefSeq lists it as uncharacterized. NCBI's taxonomy places the organism in Eukaryota, Metazoa, Chordata, Actinopteri, Salmoniformes, Salmonidae. The transcript is spliced from 4 exons. The record is from RefSeq and is a predicted model, not a curated record.
GAAAGGGGGUAUCCACUGUCUCCACUGAAUCUCUUCUCCCACAGGUAUUUUCUGGGACACUGCACUAUACAACUUUAUUUGAUGGCAGAACAUUCAGAGGCUGUAAGCUUGACACAUGGCAAAAUGCUUCUGCUGUUUCUGAGUCUCGGUUUGGUCACUUCUAACGUCCAGUCAGGAAGACCAGGGGUUAACGUAACGUGUGAAAAUCAAUCGGUUGUAGCAGGACAGAACCACAACCUGACAUGUAGAGUGGAUUACAGUAAUGCAGAUCAGAAUGACACGGGAUGUAAAACUGAACGGUAUUUCUGGAAGCAUAAAUCAAAAACUCCAAUACAAAAUUGGGAUUGUAACAUUACGAUAACAACCAAAAGCUACUUUUGUGAGAUGAAAAAUGUUACCAAAGCUGAUGAGGGAAACUACACUUUUACCAUUAACACAGACUGUGGAAACGGAAAUGACACAUUUAAUGUUUCAUUGAGAAAUGAAAAACAAGGUUUUCUGGGAUCGUCAGGUCACCUAUCGUCAGUAUCAUCACUGUUCUGGGUGUUCUACUGUUUCUCAUCUUAAGACUUAAUAGUUCCUUGAGAAACAAUGACAACACUGACAGUAUUCCUGAAGCUACCAGAGAGGCCCUCAACCAGAAGCCUGCAUAACUUUCAGUCUGGAGGAGCUGUGUGUGUGGCGUGUGUGUGUGGGUGGGUGUGUGUGUUGGUUCUAUUAUCCUUGUGGCG